Molecule: long non-coding RNA, 1032 nt
Organism: Juglans microcarpa x Juglans regia
Lineage: Eukaryota; Viridiplantae; Streptophyta; Magnoliopsida; Fagales; Juglandaceae
Exons: 2
Source: RefSeq, a predicted model, not a curated record
AAAAUAAAUUUUGUUCUUCCAAGAGGCAUUACUAAAUAUAUUUGUGAUGGCCCAAGGGAGGAUCAAGUCACAUUUGGGCAUAUACUCCAAAAGGACUAGUCAAUAAUAUAAUUGGAGCUCCAUUGGAGCCAUUAUAAAGAAUAAGAACUUCUCAUUUUCAAGCAAUGUGGGAUCUCAUACGCCACUAACCUGUAUCACUUACCAGUCAGUAUGGGUUAUCACAAUCUCCUCCCUUAAAUUCUCGAAGUCUUUUUUGGACCAAUUCAUCCUAGGUGGCACUGUUCAAGUCCUAUAUUUCUGGUUGGGAUAGACUCUGAUAUCAUUUCUAACAUUUCAAUGGAUGCCUAAGCCACAUCUGGGCAUAUACUCUAAAAUGAUUAGUUAAUGAUACAAUUGGAGCCUCAUUUGUGUGAUUAUAAAGAGCAAGAACUUCUUAUUCCCAAGCAAUGUGGGAUCCUAUAUAUCACCUACCAUUUUCAUUUUCUUUGGGGUACCGCAAUAUUUUUUCCAUCUCUCGUAACUUUAAAACUAGUAGUUCAUGUUUCCUUCAAUUUUGGUUUGUUUUUUGAAUGGCAUCUUCAUGGAAGGUGUUGAAUCUUUGUUAGUGUAUCUCAUGGUACAUUUAUUAAGGCUUCUUUUCUUUUUCCUUUUGAAGUAUUUUUGUGGCUUUUGGUAAAAACAUGUCUAUUUGUAUGAUAUUUCUAUGCUCAGAAGGUGAGAAAGUGGUUUUUAUCCUUUUGAUCUGUUUAAACUGUAUUGAUUAAUUUAAUGGAUAUUGGAGGUAUUUUGUCUUUAAUGACUUUUAAAGUUAAACUCACAGUCCUCCUAGAUUUGCUAAUGCUUAAAGACUUGGGAGAUUUGAGCUGCAGACCGACCGAUGGAAGAAGAAGCAAGCAAUGUUUCAUGAGUUUUUAACAGCAUGUAUACACAAUUUGUUCAUCUUUUUCCAUUUUUUCUCUGCAUAUGCAUGUUAUUCAUGCAACAGUUAAAUUUUAUAACCCUACUAUCUCAAUUUUACAAUCUAGUUAUAUU